Molecule: ribosomal RNA, 450 nt
Filed under: Opiognathus ocreatus
Lineage: Eukaryota; Metazoa; Arthropoda; Insecta; Hymenoptera; Braconidae
Description: eukaryotic LSU rRNA
Source: RNAcentral
AACCCUUUCAGGGGUAAACGUGAGAAACCCAAAAGAUAGAAUGGGGAGAUUCAUCGUCAGCUCAUUUUGUAUAUAUAUGAGUUAUGAUAUGGGUUACUACUUGUAGUAUUGCCUGUACAUUCUUGUAUAUUUUAUUGCAAGAUGUUGUCGGCGUGCACUUCUCCCCUAGUAGGACGUCGCGACCCGUUGAGUGUCGGUCUACGGCCCGAGUGGUAGCCUUUAAUUCUUGUAAUUAAAGACCCUUGGUGUUUCCUGACUGACUGCUCGGCGGUAUUCGUACGGUAUUAAGCCGCAUUUAUGCGUUCAUAUCCGUCGCAAGCGCGGUCAAUUUUUGGUAGUACGGACCUAGUGCCGUCGCUAUAAUUGAUCAGCUGUUGGUUGUACGGUAUUCUAGAACUGGCUUAACAUAUACCGGUCUGCUAUGCUACUGCGUUGGGUACUUUUAGGAGC